GCCGCUUUCCCCACCGAGCUCCGGGGCCGCCAUGGCGGCCGGGCCCUGAGGGAGCGGAGCCGGGGCCGCGCCAUCUUUUAGAGGCGGAGCGGGACCCGUCCCGCCCCAUGCUCUGCCUGCCGGGGCCGCCCGGCCCCGCCGCACUCGCCGCGGAGACCGAGGGGAGCGGAGCCGCAGCCCCCAGCGCCAUUGCCGCCCUCAGCCCGCCAUGGCAGGAGAAAAUGCAGAUGGCUGCACACAACCCUUCUACUUCCAUUGGAGCUGAUGGUUUAUAUGUUGCUGCAAAAUCUAUUUAUAUCAAGUGUUAUUUAUGAAGCCUCAGUGGUCAUGACAUGGCCUGACAACAGUUACCGUGGGGUUGUUUUUUUUUGCUUAAAAGCUUCAGGAAGACAAUAUUGACAGUCAGGAUGAGUAAGAGUUGAGCAUCCUGAUGUAGUGAAGGCAGGAGUAAAAUAAAUCAUUAGAAAUGAAA
Molecule: long non-coding RNA, 472 nt
Organism: Parus major (Great Tit)
Lineage: Eukaryota; Metazoa; Chordata; Aves; Passeriformes; Paridae
Exons: 2
Source: RefSeq, a predicted model, not a curated record